CUACGGGCCGCAGCAGUGAGGAAUAUUGCACAAUGGGGGGGACCCUGAUGCAGCAACGCCGCGUGGAGGAUGACGCAUUUCGGUGUGUAAACUCCUUUUAUAUGUCAAGAAAAUGACGGUAGCAUAUGAAUAAGCACCGGCUAACUCCGUGCCAGCAGCCGCGGUAAUACGGAGGGUGCAAGCGUGACUCGGAAUCACUGGGCGUAAAGGACGCGUAGGCGGGUUGGAAAGUCAGGUGUGAAAUCCUACAGCUUAACUGUAGAACUGCACUUGAAACUUCUAAUCUAGAGUAUGGGAGGGGGAGAUGGAAUUAGUGGUGUAGGGGUAAAAUCCGUAGAUAUCACUAGGAAUACCUAAAGCGAAGGCGAUCUCCUGGAACAUUACUGACGCUAAGGCGUGAAAGCGUGGGGAGCAAACAGGAUUAGAUACCCGAGUAGUC
RNAcentral lists this ribosomal RNA (439 nucleotides) under uncultured bacterium. RNAcentral describes it as "partial 16S ribosomal RNA". It matches the Rfam family "Bacterial small subunit ribosomal RNA", at positions 339 to 795 of the family's 1533-position model. The record is from RNAcentral.